AAAAAAUUGAUGGUUGCAUUGGAAAAAAUUAAAUACAAUGGAAAUUAUGUUCGGCAAUUAAGAUAAAAUUAUUAAAAAUUAAAAAUUGUGAAUAAAAUUAAUAAAUUUUAAUAUAUCAAAUUUUAUAUUGUAAAACUAAUGUUUAUUUUGAUUCAAAGAAAUAGAGAAGGGAUAGAGAUGGAAAAAGAGAAGGGAGAAAGAGGGCAAAAAGUUAAUUUUAUUGCAACCAGACAACCUAUUAUAGCACUUCAUAAUGGCUUUUUUUGAACAAAAAUUAAACUUGAAUGAUAUUAUUUUAACAAAUUGAAAUUGAUUGAUUGAAAUGAAACAAUCCAUAAAGUUAACUGACCGUUAGUGUAAUUUACCAUACAACUUUCUUUUGAGUGAUUUGAGAACAAGGCAUCCAAUGUUUUUUCAUUACAGUUAUUUGUGCAAGUGAUUCAUUGUUGAGGAAUGGUUAAUUUGUGCACAUUCCUUGAUGAGUAUGGGAAUUUUAAUAAUAAUUUUUAAAAGUAAAUUUUUCAGCAGUUCUAUUACAUAAGAAAGAUGAUAGUUAGCACCAGAUGGCUUUUUAAUUCAUUUUCUUCAUUUCCAUUUGCUUAUGUGAUGUUCCUAUCUAUUGCAACAUAUUAACCUUGUAGUCUUCUUCAUUAAGGAUGUGUUUCGUAGAAAGUUAAAAAAAAUAGAAAGUUAAAUGUUACACUUACAAGUUUUAACUUCCAAAGAGGUUAAGG
RNAcentral lists this unclassified non-coding RNA (734 nucleotides) under Hevea brasiliensis (rubber tree). The record is from RNAcentral. Lineage: Eukaryota; Viridiplantae; Streptophyta; Magnoliopsida; Malpighiales; Euphorbiaceae.